RNAcentral lists this long non-coding RNA (222 nucleotides) under Capsicum annuum. Its description in RNAcentral is "long non-coding RNA (CANN_LNC013324)". The record is from RNAcentral. Lineage: Eukaryota; Viridiplantae; Streptophyta; Magnoliopsida; Solanales; Solanaceae.
AUGUAUUUAUGCCAUAUCAUAUGUUUUGAUAGAGUUUUAAAAAGGGGCUUAAAGAGGGUUAGGUGGUUACCUGAAGAAGGCGCGAGUUCAAGUGAAACCGUAUUUGCUGAUAUGGGUAGAUUAUUCCAAAAGACCUGUCUUUUCAGAUUAUGUUACUUAUUUCAGUUUUGGUCUACUGAGGGCCUUGUUCCAGUUUCAGACAGUUGUCAGAUUUUCAUUUAG